This 74-nucleotide transfer RNA is filed under the name Phycisphaerae bacterium. Its description in RNAcentral is "tRNA-Val". It matches the Rfam family "tRNA". Rfam says of the family: Transfer RNA (tRNA) molecules are approximately 80 nucleotides in length. Their secondary structure includes four short double-helical elements and three loops (D, anti-codon, and T loops). Lineage: Bacteria; Pseudomonadati; Planctomycetota; Phycisphaerae. The record is from RNAcentral.
GGGCGGUUAGCUCAGUUGGCUAGAGCGAUUGCCUUACAAGCAAUAGGUCACUGGUUCGAGCCCAGUACCGCCCA